This 426-nucleotide ribosomal RNA is filed under the name uncultured Actinomycetes bacterium. Its description in RNAcentral is "bacterial SSU rRNA". It matches the Rfam family "Bacterial small subunit ribosomal RNA", at positions 233 to 671 of the family's 1533-position model. Lineage: Bacteria; Bacillati; Actinomycetota; Actinomycetes. The record is from RNAcentral.
GCGGCCUAUCAGCUUGUUGGUGAGGUAAUGGCUCACCAAGGCGACGACGGGUAGCCGGCCUGAGAGGGCGACCGGCCACACUGGGACUGAGACACGGCCCAGACUCCUACGGGAGGCAGCAGUGGGGAAUAUUGGGCAAUGGACGCAAGUCUGACCCAGCGACGCCGCGUGCGGGAUGAAGGCCUUCGGGUUGUAAACCGCUUUCAGCAGGGAAGAAGCGAAAGUGACGGUACCUGCAAAAGAAGCACCGGCUAACUAUGUGCCAGCAGCCGCGGUAAUACAUAGGGUGCAAGCGUUGUCCGGAAUUAUUGGGCGUAAAGAGCUCGUAGGUGGUUCGUCACGUCGGAUGUGAAAAUCUGGGGCUUAACUCCAGACCUGCAUUCGAUACGGGCGAGCUAGAGUGUGGUAGGGGAGACUGGAAUUCCU